GUGACCUCAAAUCAGGUAGGACUACCCGCUGAACUUAAGCAUAUCAAUAAGCGGAGGAAAAGAAACUAACAAGGAUUCCCCUAGUAACUGCGAGUGAAGCGGGAAAAGCUCAAAUUUAAAAUCUGGCGGUCUUUUGGCUGUCCGAGUUGUAAUCUAGAGAAGUGCUAUCCGCGCUGGACCGUGUACAAGUCUCCUGGAAUGGAGCAUCAUAGAGGGUGAGAAUCCCGUCUUUGACAUGGACUGCCAGGGCUUUGUGAUGCGCUCUCAAAGAGUCGAGUUGUUUGGGAAUGCAGCUCAAAAUGGGUGGUAAAUUCCAUCUAAAGCUAAAUAUUGGCGAGAGACCGAUAGCGAACAAGUACCGUGAGGGAAAGAUGAAAAGAACUUUGGAAAGAGAGUUAAACAGUACGUGAAAUUGCUGAAAGGGAAACGCUUGAAGUCAGUCGCGUCAUCCAGGGAUCAACCUUGCUUUUGCUUGGUGCACUUUCUGGUUUGAUGGGUCAGCAUCAAUUUUGACCAUUGGAAAAAGGUUAAGGGAAUGUGGCAUCUUUGGAUGUGUUAUAGCCCUUGGUCACAUACAAUGGUUGGGAUUGAGGAACUCAGCACGCCGCAAGGCCGGGUUUAAACCACGU
Molecule: ribosomal RNA, 629 nt
Filed under: Cortinarius sp. EH34
Lineage: Eukaryota; Fungi; Basidiomycota; Agaricomycetes; Agaricales; Cortinariaceae
Description: eukaryotic LSU rRNA
Rfam family: Eukaryotic large subunit ribosomal RNA
Source: RNAcentral